UCACGAAAGUGAGCUGUACUAGAAGUCGCUGCGCUAACCGCAAGGAGGCAAGCGCCCAAGGUAUGACUCAUGAUUGGGGUG
Molecule: ribosomal RNA, 81 nt
Filed under: uncultured bacterium
Lineage: Bacteria
Description: partial 16S ribosomal RNA
Source: RNAcentral